GCAUUGUUGACGAGUCCCACACAAGACGAAACAGUUGUCCAGUGU
Molecule: non-coding RNA, 45 nt
Filed under: Echinostoma caproni
Lineage: Eukaryota; Metazoa; Platyhelminthes; Trematoda; Plagiorchiida; Echinostomatidae
Source: RNAcentral